UGGGGAAUUUUGGACAAUGGGCGAAAGCCUGAUCCAGCCAUGCCGCGUGAGUGAAGAAGGCCUUCGGGUUGUAAAGCUCUUUUAGUCGGAAAGAAAGAGUUGCAAUGAAUAAUUGUGAUUUAUGACGGUACCGACAGAAAAAGCACCGGCUAACUACGUGCCAGCAGCCGCGGUAAUACGUAGGGUGCGAGCGUUAAUCGGAAUUACUGGGCGUAAAGCGUGCGCAGGCGGUUUUGUAAGACAGAUGUGACAUCCCCGGGCUUAACCUGGGAACUGCGUUUGGGACUGCAAGGCUGGAGUACGGCAGAGGGGGGUAGAAUUCCACGUGUAGCAGUGAAAUGCGUAGAGAUGUGGAGAAACACCGAUGGCGAAGGCAGCCCCCUGGGCCUGUACUGACGCUCAUGCACGAAAGCGUGGGGAGCAAACA
Molecule: ribosomal RNA, 427 nt
Filed under: uncultured bacterium
Lineage: Bacteria
Description: bacterial SSU rRNA
Rfam family: Bacterial small subunit ribosomal RNA
Source: RNAcentral